UGGGGAAUAUUGCACAAUGGGGGAAACCCUGAUGCAGCGACGCCGCGUGAGUGAAGAAGUAUUUCGGUAUGUAAAGCUCUAUCAGCAAGGAAGAAGAGAUGACGGUACUUGACUAAGAAGCCCCGGCUAACUACGUGCCAGCAGCCGCGGUAAUACGUAGGGGGCAAGCGUUAUCCGGAUUUACUGGGUGUAAAGGGAGCGUAGACGGCAGAGCAAGUCCGAUGUGAAAGCCCGCGGCUCAACCGCGGGACUGCAUUGGAAACUGCCCGGCUGGAGUGCAGGAGAGGUAAGUGGAAUUCCUAGUGUAGCGGUGAAAUGCGUAGAUAUUAGGAGGAACACCAGUGGCGAAGGCGGCUUACUGGACUGUAACUGACGUUGAGGCUCGAAAGCGUGGGGAGCAAACAGGAUUAGAUACCCUGGUAGU
Molecule: ribosomal RNA, 424 nt
Filed under: uncultured Lachnospiraceae bacterium
Lineage: Bacteria; Bacillati; Bacillota; Clostridia; Lachnospirales; Lachnospiraceae
Description: bacterial SSU rRNA
Rfam family: Bacterial small subunit ribosomal RNA
Source: RNAcentral